This 253-nucleotide ribosomal RNA is filed under the name uncultured bacterium. RNAcentral's name for it is "partial 16S ribosomal RNA". It matches the Rfam family "Bacterial small subunit ribosomal RNA", at positions 524 to 776 of the family's 1533-position model. The record is from RNAcentral.
UACGAAGGGGGCUAGCGUUGCUCGGAAUCACUGGGCGUAAAGGGUGCGUAGGCGGGUCUUUAAGUCAGGGGUGAAAUCCUGGAGCUCAACUCCAGAACUGCCUUUGAUACUGAGGGCCUUGAGACCGGAAGAGGUCGGCGGAACUGCGAGUGUAGAGGUGAAAUUCGUAGAUAUUCGCAAGAACACCAGUGGCGAAGGCGGCCGACUGGUCCGGUUCUGACGCUGAGGCGCGAAAGCGUGGGGAGCAAACAGG